AGAGAGAGCACUACUCAAAUCCAAAUAUUGUUAAAGUUGGAUGAAACAUAAAUUACAUUGAAGUUUUUAUUUGUGAACAAGUGGACUCAACAAUGCCAAAAGGGCUCGUGAGAGAACCAUCAAAUCUGGCAUUGAUUUACGUUAUUAAGAAACAGAAACCUCGUCCAACGGUCCAUAAACUAAUUGUUAACACAUUCUUUACUAAU
This 206-nucleotide long non-coding RNA is filed under the name Actinidia chinensis (golden kiwifruit). RNAcentral's name for it is "long non-coding RNA (ACHI_LNC007576)". The record is from RNAcentral. Lineage: Eukaryota; Viridiplantae; Streptophyta; Magnoliopsida; Ericales; Actinidiaceae.